This 518-nucleotide ribosomal RNA is filed under the name uncultured bacterium. RNAcentral describes it as "partial 16S ribosomal RNA". It matches the Rfam family "Bacterial small subunit ribosomal RNA", at positions 899 to 1397 of the family's 1533-position model. The record is from RNAcentral.
ACUCAAAUGAAUAGACGGGGGCUCACACAAGCGGUGGAGCAUGUGGCUUAAUUCGAGGCUACGCGAAGAACCUUAUCCUAGGCUUGACAUGUUCGCAAGAGGUAGGACGUAGCGGGUCGAAAGACCUUAGCGACAGGUAUCCAAUCCUGAGCCUACCACAGGUGCUGCAUGGCUGUCGUCAGCUCGUGUCGUGAGAUGUCGGGUUAAGUCCCAUAACGAGCGAAACCCUUGCCCUUAGUUGCUACUCGCAAGAGGCACUCUAGGGGGACUGCCGGUGUUAAACCGGAGGAAGGUGGGGAUGACGUCAAGUCCUCAUGGCCUUUAUGCCUAGGGCUGCACACGUGCUACAAUGGUACAUACAAAGGGACGCAACAGCGCAAGCUUGAGCAAAUCCCAAAAAAUGUGCCCCAGUUCAGAUCGAAGGCUGCAACUCGCCUUCGUGAAGUUGGAAUCGCUAGUAAUCGCAGGUCAGCAACACUGCGGUGAAUGUGUUCCUGAGCCUUGCACACACCGCCCGU